CACCCCUCUUGGUGUCUUCUGGUGAGCUCAGCUGAAGGGAACCUGCCAUGUAUUUGAAGACCUUUACCGUAUUUCUGCAUCACUGCCUCUGAACAGACUCAAGUGCUCCAGCUGAGGUCUCAUCCAUGCUGAACACAGCCUUGUAGAAGACGAUGGAAGUUCAGUCAGACCCCUGGUUGCUGUUGCUGGGAUACAGUCAGCAGUGGUAGGACACAGUAUGAGAAGAAAAGAAGUCUGGGGUUUUUUUCAGUUAAUGUACCAGCAUAGAAGAGCCCUGCUUUUCAUCAUAUCCUCGUCAUGUUCGUGUUCAAAUGGUUACGGAUCUGCAUGAAGCAGUAAAGUUGCCUAUAAUUUAAUAGGCUGAAAUUAACAGAAGAAUAAAAGAUUGAAAAAAACAAGAAAAUGUGCAUAUAUAAAAAGUCCCUUGGAAAUGGAUAUGAUUUCAUCCAUCCACAGCUGAGACAGAGUUAAUGCUGCCCCUGCACAGGAAGAGGCAAGAGGAUAUAUCAGCCUCAAAAGGAAACAUGGAAACCGAACUCAAAAGGAAACUAGUCCAAAUGGAGAUGUGUGAAGUUGGGUGCAAUGAUUCCUUACUCAGUCUUCGUUAAGAAUUGCUCUCUCAGGUGGCCCUUAAUGACAGGGAUAGUACAUGCAACCAGUUAAGACUAAAUGUUUAAAGCCUGGUUAAGACCCAGUGAGACAUCUGAAGUCUUGAACAAAUACUGAACUACAGUCCUUAUUUUUCCUUUUUGCCUCAGAUAUGUCUGCUUCGGAAAAAUGAGAUGCCAACUUACAGACACUGCUGAAAUGUUUUGAGAAACAUGAACAAUACAAGUUACAAGGUCUUAUAAUUAUUUAUUUCACCUAUGGAUGUCACAACAAUUGUCUCCCCUGAGGACUGCAGGUACAGACAGUAGACUAGACAGGAAAGGAAGGGAAGAAGAAAGGAGGUUGGAGGUGCUUUGGCAAUGAGGUCCCUAUUUAGGGUGCUGUGGGAAGAUGAUGCUUGUCAAGCCUUGGCACAAGCAGAGUUUACUCUCAUAUUCAGCUGUUGCUCACUCAGGAAACUUUAGAAGGCCAGGACAAAGGUGAAGCAAGGUGAUGAUUGUACUGUCUCCAUGGGGUUGGCUCCCUCAGAGCCCCAGGGCAGCACUCCACCAGUUAUAGCUCAGACACAGAAAAUAGUUAAGAAGUUUGUGUUCAACUGUCCACAACAUAAAAUCCCCUCCUUCUUGCUCCUGAGCAUAUAGAAAUAUGCAUUCAUAUUGCUUUCUUUAACAUAUGCACAGAACAAAAUCACUUUCCAACCUGUAGUGCUCUUCCUACAGCUUCAUCUCCAUAUUUUCUAUUAGCUGGAUGAAAGCUCUUCAAACUCACUGAAAGAAAUUUGUUCCUUAUUUUCAUACAUUUGUUUACACCAGAGAUGCGUCUAGAAUUCCUUACCUUUGCCACAGAAAAGACAUUAAGAAGAACAAAAUCAUUUUGUUCAAAUAAAAAGGAAUACAGGGAAAAUACUCAUUGCUGGAAUAUGCACAGAAGGUCAUUACUGGCAUUACAACAACAACUUUUAAAGUCUCAUAAUUAGUUUUUAAUUGCACAAACACAGAAGGCAAUUCCAUCUUUUACUGCAUAGUUUAUGACCAGAAACCAUUUGCCAAACAGACAUCAUAACAGCAAAAACUUGCACUCGCUUCAAAAUUGAUAGUUACAAUAUGUACCCUGCUGGUUAUACCAGCUACCCACACAUGAUCUGGAGGAAAGCUAUUUGACCAAAAUUAGCAAGUGUUAUAGAACACGCUGGUAAAAUAAACCCUCUUAGCCCAAUAUUUCUUCAAGUAAGUUCAGUGAAGAAAGUAAGAACUGAAUAAGGAGACAGACUUAAUUAAGUUGAGGCUAAAAAUAUCCAGACUGGGAGCUUCCCUUUGAAAAUAUGAUUUUUGGGAUUUAAACUUUCCUUCUUAAUUCUCUAGCAGAAAAUUUCAGAUUUAUAAUUUUUCUUUCCAGGUUGGAAUGAAAAGUCAAAAAUGUUAGCUUUUUUCAGUAAUGGAAAGCACCUGAGGAGGUCAUAGGAUAGAAAUAAUUGGGAGCAUCUUCUCAGACCUUGAUUUUAGAGCUACUGGAUAAUUCUCAGGCCCUUCUUGAUGAUGAAUAAAUUGGAAACAGAAAAACAAAGAAAUGGGAAGGGGCUUAAGGAGAAAGCCAAGGAGAGUGAGAGAUAUCUAUAGCAGAGGCAAAAUGGAAAUCAGUCACCUACAUACUGGUGCAUACCAAAACAUGUUACUGAAGAUGAAAAGACUUGGGGGGACCUUACCCUUGAGGGCCUCAGAUCUUUACUGGCUGAUACUCUACUGUCAGCAUCUGUUUCAGCAGAGUGGGGAAAUAUUACUACUAGGAAGAGAAAGAAGUAGUAUCAGAUAUCUCUGUAGAUACAAAGAUAUAAAACAGAAGUCCAAAACAGAAAUCUGCUUUCAGAAGACACUCUCUCAAAGGGCCAAUAGACAUAAAACUCCAACCAGGCUUUGCUCUGCCUGGGACUGCCAAGACAAAGGUCACGAAUUAUUAGGUCAAAAAGAUCAAUGAGAUACUUCGACAUGACUGUCAAACCCUGUAGGUUGAAAUAAACCAGGAUCCCCUGGGGCAGAGGAUUUAUAAUCACUGAGAAGUACUGGAAAUUCACAUAGGCCAAGCAUUCUUAGGAUGAACUACUACUUUGUUGGGAUUCAUGUGAUCAAAGAUAGAGAAGAGUAUGUCAGAGACUCCCAUCUGGCUUACCUCAACAGUGAUGACAAUUUGGCAUAUCAGGGUGUCCACUAUCAUAGAAUCAUAGAAUAUGGAAUCACGGAAUCAUGGAAUGUCUUGGGUUGGAAGUGACCUUAAAAACCACUCACUUCCACCCUAUCUGCCAUUGGCAAGGCAGCCCUCCAACAGAACAGGCUUCACAGGGCCCCAUCCAAUCUGGCCUUGACUGCCUCCAG
This is a long non-coding RNA of Centrocercus urophasianus (Greater sage-grouse), 2975 nucleotides long. RefSeq lists it as uncharacterized. The record is from RefSeq and is a predicted model, not a curated record. The transcript is spliced from 6 exons. Lineage: Eukaryota; Metazoa; Chordata; Aves; Galliformes; Phasianidae.